UUAAGUUCAGCGGGUAUCCUCACCUGAUCCGAGGUCAAACUUUGGGAUAUUGUUACCUGGCGGGCACCGCCGCGGACUCCUGAAGCGAAAUUUUUGCUACGCUUGAAGCCGGACUGCACCGCCAACGGGUUACGGACGGGUCACUCGACCGCGUCCAAGACCAAGCUGGGCUUGAUGGUUUAAAUGACGCUCGAACAGGC
Molecule: unclassified non-coding RNA, 200 nt
Filed under: Hysteriales sp.
Lineage: Eukaryota; Fungi; Ascomycota; Dothideomycetes; Hysteriales
Description: partial internal transcribed spacer 2
Source: RNAcentral